Myripristis murdjan (pinecone soldierfish) is the source of this 470-nucleotide long non-coding RNA. RefSeq lists it as uncharacterized. The transcript has 5 exons. Lineage: Eukaryota; Metazoa; Chordata; Actinopteri; Holocentriformes; Holocentridae. The record is from RefSeq and is a predicted model, not a curated record.
GUGAAAACUGUCAAACUCAACGUCUCUCAACAGAUGUCAGGCAAAAACACACCUUAGAACCAACAUCGCGGCUCUUGGCUCUCAACUUGUUGACCUGUGACUCAGCGAUGUCAGCCCUCUCCUCUGCCUCAUCCAGCUCAUGUUGCAGCUUACGGAACUUAGUCAGGAUUUGACCUUGAGUUGAAGUUUAUCCACCAGGUCCUGGAGACGGGACAAAUUUUUGCGAUCCUCCUCAGUCUGCAAAAGGAAGUAUCCUGAUGCCUUCCAGCACACCAUUACAGCGCAGCUGGUGCAUGACCAGGGGAUUCUCCAUGGCCCCAGGAGUCUUGGUCUCAUUGGGGAUGAUGCAUCGCACAAAGUGGGGGAACAGCUCCUCCCGUCAGAUUGUUUACCCCCUUAUUGACAUGCAUGGGCUUCCUGAAGGUGAAUUUGAGGACACAGCUACCCCUCCACUGCCGAGGCGUUAACCA